GAUGAACGCUGGCGGCGUGCUUAACACAUGCAAGUCGAACGGUGAACACGGAGCUUGCUCUGUGGGAUCAGUGGCGAACGGGUGAGUAACACGUGAGCAACCUGCCCCUGACUCUGGGAUAAGCGCUGGAAACGGCGUCUAAUACUGGAUACGAGACGUGAUCGCAUGGUCAACGUCUGGAAAGAAUUUCGGUUGGGGAUGGGCUCGCGGCCUAUCAGCUUGUUGGUGAGGUAAUGGCUCACCAAGACGUCGACGGGUAGCCGGCCUGAGAGGGUGACCGGCCACACUGGGACUGAGACACGGCCCAGACUCCUACGGGAGGCAGCAGUGGGGAAUAUUGCACAAUGGGCGCAAGCCUGAUGCAGCAACGCCGCGUGAGGGAUGACGGCCUUCGGGUUGUAAACCUCUUUUAGCAGGGAAGAAGCGAAAGUGACGGUACCUGCAGAAAAAGCGCCGGCUAACUACGUGCCAGCCGCCGCGGUAA
This 484-nucleotide ribosomal RNA is filed under the name uncultured bacterium. RNAcentral describes it as "partial 16S ribosomal RNA". It matches the Rfam family "Bacterial small subunit ribosomal RNA", at positions 28 to 523 of the family's 1533-position model. The record is from RNAcentral.